UUCAGGGAGGAAUAAAUGACGUGUACCUGAAGAAUAAGCAUCGGCUAACUCCGUGCCAGCAGCCGCGGUAAUACGGGAGGGGCAAGCGUUAUCUAGAAUAACUGGGCGUAAAGAGUCCGUAGAUUGUACUGUAAGUUAGUUGUUAAAGACUAAAACUUAAUUUUAGAAAAGCUUCUAAUACUACUGUACUUGAGUUUUUUGCAGAAAAGUAGAAUUUCAUGUUGAGGAGCAACGCCUUAAGACACAUGAAGGAAUACCUAGAGCGAAGGCAACUUUUUGGUAAAAACUGACGUUGAGGGACGAAAGUGUAGGGAGCAAACAGGAUUAGAGACCUUGGUAGUCUACACUGUAAAUUCUGAAUGCUGGAAUUUAGUACAAAAUAAUACUAGAUUGUUUUAAGCUAACGCGAUAAGCAUUCCGCCAGAGGAGUACGGUCGCAAGGCUGGAACUCAAAGGAAUUGACGGGGGCCUACAACAAGUGGUGGAGCAUGUGGUUUAAUGCGAUAAUCCGCGCAAAACCUUACCAACCCUUGACAUAGUAAAAAA
RNAcentral lists this ribosomal RNA (546 nucleotides) under Chaetoceros debilis. RNAcentral's name for it is "partial Bacterial small subunit ribosomal RNA". It matches the Rfam family "Bacterial small subunit ribosomal RNA", at positions 438 to 996 of the family's 1533-position model. Lineage: Eukaryota; Bacillariophyta; Thalassiosirophyceae; Chaetocerotales; Chaetocerotaceae. The record is from RNAcentral.